UGUAACAGCAGCGAACACACACAAACCAGCAACAUACACAUACACACAAGUCACCAACAUAUAUACACACAAGUCAGCAACAUGCAUACAAACAAGUCAGCCCCAGUUAGUGUUGGUGAUCGAGUUCCCCUUUCGUGGAAAGGAUGGAGUUACCUGGACCCCCCCACUCCUGUGGACUCACCAACACGGUCCGGUUAAGGCAAUACAGCUUGCUAGUGUUGCCCCGUUACUGGCAUUUCAAUCGGAUUUCUGGGAAAGGCUGAGCUUGAUGGACGCUUCUCUUUUUUCACUCACACUAACACACACCUAGACACAUAUUUAUAGUGUAAGAUUUGGAGCACCAGUGUUGCCGGAACCUGUUAGGCACUAAUUACCUCAGGACAGUCAGAGACAAGAAGUCCAAGUUCCAUAAAAAACCUGAUUAGUGUUCAAAAAGGCUUAAUAUACAUUUAUUGACUCAGAACUUUACAUAAAAUAUUGUACACAAAAUGUAGCCUUUUUUUUUAACUUCCCCUCCCUGAUAGAAUUGUGUUGCUAGGCAGUGAUGUCAUAAUGAUGACUGCCAGGUGAUGUCAUAAUGCAGACUCUCAAUAACAGUGAGCCAACAUUCAUCUUUCACACAUCAGAGGAAGAUAACAUACAGCUACAGCAUAUGUAACGAACAGCAGCCAACACACACGCCAAUCAGCAACAUACAUACAAGCAAAACACAA
Spea bombifrons (plains spadefoot toad) is the source of this 713-nucleotide long non-coding RNA. RefSeq lists it as uncharacterized. The transcript has 2 exons. Lineage: Eukaryota; Metazoa; Chordata; Amphibia; Anura; Pelobatidae. The record is from RefSeq and is a predicted model, not a curated record.